RNAcentral lists this unclassified non-coding RNA (314 nucleotides) under uncultured fungus. RNAcentral describes it as "partial contains 5.8S ribosomal RNA and internal transcribed spacer 2". The stretch from base 1 to 133 matches the Rfam family "5.8S ribosomal RNA", at positions 22 to 154 of the family's 154-position model. Lineage: Eukaryota; Fungi. The record is from RNAcentral.
UGGCUCUCGCAUCGAUGAAGAACGCAGCGAAAUGCGAUAAGUAAUGUGAAUUGCAGAAUUCAGUGAAUCAUCGAAUCUUUGAACGCACCUUGCGCCCCUUGGUAUUCCGAGGGGCAUGCCUGUUUGAGUGUCUUGUCUAUAUCAAACAUCCCGUUUGGUGUUGCGGGGAUUGCCGUGUCGGGCUCCCGUUGAAUGCAUCGGCCCAUUGUCAGCGGAGGCUCAGUGUUGUAACUUACUACGCUGCACCUUGUCUGACAAUGGCCGUCACUACGUGCUUGCAUUUUGACCUCAAAUCAGGUAGGAUUACCCGCUGA